GAAAUUUAUGAAAAUCAAAAGGGUAUUAACAUCAACAGAUAUAAACAAUUUAUCAAAGUUGUAUGAAAAUUGAUGAAAGCGAUAUUGAGUUAUAGUUGUCCGAAAACUGGAAAAUCCCCCUUUUUUAAUGGAUAAAACCCUAUAACUCGGAAACGUAAAAUCAAAAUUUAUAAAAAAAAAAAAGAAGAAAGGGAGCUCACGUCAAUAGAUAUAAACAAUUUCUUUAAAGUUUUAUGCCAAUUGGUUAAAGCGUUUUUGAGUUAAUGUCCGACAUGUUGACGAUGGACGGACGGACAGAUGUAUACCAUAAUACGUCCCGUAACCGGGCGUAUAAUAAUUCAACACGUACUAUACAUUUGGCUUUACCAGUCUCCAACAAGAGAAAUAUUUAACACACACACACGCACGCACACACACACACACACACACAUGUAUUUAUGUAGAGAUAAAUACAUGUCUCACAGAGUACUGCUAAACUAACUGGCAAACACAUUAAUGGUCAGUCUGGUGAAAGAAUAUUCCACUCAUA
RNAcentral lists this long non-coding RNA (529 nucleotides) under Mytilus galloprovincialis (Mediterranean mussel). The record is from RNAcentral. Lineage: Eukaryota; Metazoa; Mollusca; Bivalvia; Mytilida; Mytilidae.